AGCUUUAUAUUCAAUAUAUGAUUUUAAAUUGCAAAUUUAAAGGUGAGAAUUAUUUCUAAGGCUU
This 64-nucleotide transfer RNA is filed under the name Pselaphinae sp. 10 EF-2015. RNAcentral describes it as "tRNA-Cys". Lineage: Eukaryota; Metazoa; Arthropoda; Insecta; Coleoptera; Staphylinidae. The record is from RNAcentral.